Molecule: long non-coding RNA, 571 nt
Organism: Schistocerca serialis cubense
Lineage: Eukaryota; Metazoa; Arthropoda; Insecta; Orthoptera; Acrididae
Exons: 5
Source: RefSeq, a predicted model, not a curated record
CGUGACUCCGCAUUCUGUGCUGCAGCUUCCGAGUUGAUAUCUACUUCUCCGUUAAUAAGAUCUCCCUUCCUUGGAAACAAUUUGAAGACGUUUCGGAAAUCGAACCAGCUUCCUCCCACACCGAGGGUAGCCACAUUAACCGCCCAUCUGUGGAGCCGGAACCCGAGUGUAUUAUCGUGCAGGAAUAAGAUCUGUCACGACGCCUUGCAAACUGGAGCGCUACGACCCAGACAGUCGUGCUGUCAGUGCAGCACAGUCGCUGUCCCCUACGUUCGGGCUGUGGUUUGCGCCCCACUCUGAACAGCCGCCCCCUGUUUGCAGCGCGGGCUGUGGCUCCAGCAGUCCCAGCACCGCCACUCGGCCACUCGGCGACCCCGGACGCUCUCCUGCCGCGGCUGCCGGCCACACUCCGCCGCCUCCAGACGACGCGGCCGUCUCUCGCCUGCGGAGCCUCUCUCAACAGGAGAGAGGGAGGAGGCUGAUAGAGGCGGCCAUGCAGGGCGCGGCGGAGCAGCUGCGCGAGUUGCUGGCGGCGGGGGCGGACGUGGGGUCGAGGGGGGAGGGGUUGGGG